UAGGGAAUCUUCCACAAUGGGCGAAAGCCUGAUGGAGCAACGCCGCGUGUGUGACGAAGGGUUUCGGCUCGUAAAACACUGUUGUAAGAGAAGAAUGACAUUGAGAGUAACUGUUCAAUGUGUGACGGUAUCUUACCAGAAAGGAACGGCUAAAUACGCGCCAG
Molecule: ribosomal RNA, 164 nt
Filed under: uncultured bacterium
Lineage: Bacteria
Description: partial 16S rRNA
Rfam family: Bacterial small subunit ribosomal RNA
Source: RNAcentral